RNAcentral lists this ribosomal RNA (252 nucleotides) under uncultured bacterium. RNAcentral describes it as "partial 16S ribosomal RNA". It matches the Rfam family "Bacterial small subunit ribosomal RNA", at positions 524 to 776 of the family's 1533-position model. The record is from RNAcentral.
UACGUAGGGUGCAAGCGUUAAUCGGAAUUACUGGGCGUAAAGCGUGCGCAGGCGGUUCUAUAAGACAGAUGUGAAAUCCCCGGGCUCAACCUGGGAACUGCAUUUGUGACUGUAGAGCUGGAGUGCGGCAGAGGGGAUGGAAUUCCGCGUGGUAGCAGUGAAAUGCGUAGAUAUGCGGAGGAACACCGAUGGCGAAGGCAAUCCCCUGGGCCUGCACUGACGCUCCAUGCACGAAAGCGUGGGAGCAACAGG